UUUCUUUUUCUUUUUCAUACUUUCAUGAAAUGCAACACAUCACAGCUAAUCACAUCAAGGAUGGUAUUGUCACCAUUAGUCCUCUUCCUUUCCAAAGUGCCGGGACGUAGAAUGGGUCAACCGGUCUUUCUCUUACAUAACACAUCAUAUCAUAACAUUCCAAUAUGCCGGGACGUAGAAUGGGUCAACCGGUCUUUCUCUUUCUUUGUGCCAGGGACGUAGAAUGGGUACAACCUGGACUUUCAUACAUAACAUGCCAUAUCUCAUCAUAACAUAUCGAGGACUAUGGAUCAUCCAAUCAACCAUCCACAUCAACAUCAAUUUAUGCAAUGCAGCAUAUUCGUGAAUUCUAAUGCAAACAUCCUGAAAUAUCGCAUGGCAUUAGUGAUGCAUGGGCAAUGCUUUAUGAUUCAUUCAUUUAUUUAUUUACUUUACUUUAAAACUUAAGGGGUUGUUCCACUCACCUGACGACUGAAGCUUUAACAACUCAAAGGUAGCUAUCUCACUGCCGGGGGUCUCGGUUCCUCGGGUCCGAACCUACACAGGUGGACUUAAAUGAGGUACCAAACAAACAUAAACAAGACUCUAAACAUACCCCCAAAAACCUCCUAAAAAUACCUCAAAACACCCCUAGAAAACAUGCAAGAAAAUGCUGGACAGGGCACUUUCGGCGGCACCUUCGGCGGCCGGAAGUCCCUCCAGAGCCGAAAGUCAGGCAGGUUCGGCGGCACCUUCGGCGGCCGAAACUCCCAGACAGAGACGAAACUCAUGCAUGUUCGGCGGCACCUUCGGCGGCCGAAAGUCUCGGACAGAGCCGAAACUCCAACUUUCGGGGGCAAGCUUCGGCAGCCUAAAGCUGCCUCUCAAGCCAUGUUCGGCGGCCGAAACUCCCUUCGGCUGCCGAACCUGGUUUCUGCCAAAGGGCAGAAACUCGGCUCCUCUUGCCUCCAAGGUUCCCAAACUUCCUAAUCAUGCAUAAA
RNAcentral lists this long non-coding RNA (980 nucleotides) under Manihot esculenta (cassava). RNAcentral's name for it is "long non-coding RNA (MESC_LNC006094)". Lineage: Eukaryota; Viridiplantae; Streptophyta; Magnoliopsida; Malpighiales; Euphorbiaceae. The record is from RNAcentral.